AAUCAUUUUGAUCAUGUACAGUACAUGAUCAGUGACUGAGGCUCCAUCUCUCAUCCGAGCAUUGAAAAUGGCACAACUAGUUUUGUGCCUUUCAACAUCGUCAGGCAUGCCAAAGGAGUCGUUCAACAUUUGAAGCAUCUCCUGUGGCUUGGCGUUCUCGAACCUGUGGCUGAACUCAUCAUUCAUUGCCGCCAGCAUAAU
Molecule: long non-coding RNA, 201 nt
Filed under: Elaeis guineensis (African oil palm)
Lineage: Eukaryota; Viridiplantae; Streptophyta; Magnoliopsida; Arecales; Arecaceae
Description: long non-coding RNA (EGUI_LNC073941)
Source: RNAcentral